GCACAAGCGGUGGAGCAUGUGGUUCAAUUCGACGCAACGCGAAGAACCUUACCAGCUCUUGACAUGCCCGGUAUGGGGUCGAGAAAUCGGCUCCUUCAGUUCGGCUGGCCGGUGCACAGGUGCUGCAUGGCUGUCGUCAGCUCGUGUCGUGAGAUGUUGGGUUAAGUCCCGCAACGAGCGCAACCCUCACCUUCAGUUGCCAUCAGGUUAAGCUGGGCACUCUGAAGGAACUGCCGGUGACAAGCCGGAGGAAGGCGGGGAUGACGUCAAGUCCUCAUGGCCUUUAUGGGCUGGGCUACACACGUGCUACAAUGGCGGUGACAGUGGGAUGCGAAGGGGCAACCCUUGGCCAAUCUCAAAAAGCCGUCUCAGUUCGGAUUGUCCUCUGCAACUCGAGGGCAUGAAGCUGGAAUCGCUAGUAAUCGCGGAUCAGCACGCCGCGGUGAAUACGUUCCCGGGC
RNAcentral lists this ribosomal RNA (460 nucleotides) under uncultured bacterium. Its description in RNAcentral is "bacterial SSU rRNA". It matches the Rfam family "Bacterial small subunit ribosomal RNA", at positions 923 to 1379 of the family's 1533-position model. The record is from RNAcentral.